Molecule: non-coding RNA, 1121 nt
Organism: Pelobates cultripes (western spadefoot toad)
Lineage: Eukaryota; Metazoa; Chordata; Amphibia; Anura; Pelobatidae
Source: the annotation of a GenBank genome assembly
AGGAGUUAUAUCACUUUUGUUUCUAUUUAUGCAGCCCUAGCCACAGCUCCCCUGGCUGUGACUCCCACACCUGCAUGAAAAAAAAUGUUGCUGUAUUUUUACUUUAUUUUAUUUUUGGUGUGCAUCAACAUUACAAGACAACAUUUCGCAUAAAGGUGCAGCAAAAAUAUAUCAAACAUAUGUUGUAUGGAGGAAAGACCAUGCUAUACAUCAGCAUAAAUAUUGUACUAUUGGUACUAUACAUACUUGAGUAACUAUUUUACAGCAGAGUGUUAUACCCAAAAAGUUCCAUGGAUAGUAGGGAAGCUACCAUGACAUGUUAUGACAUAAUACACUGCAUCAACUUUUAGUAAUCCCUGACAUAAACUAUAAGAAGGAGAGAGAGAAAUCAUGUCUAGCAGCAGAUUUCCUGAGAGACUUAACAUAAAAGUAAUUAACUAGGCUUAGACAAACAUUUAAACAAAAAUAUACAAUCCUAACCGAGGAGAGCAUGUCAGCAAGAGUCUCUGAAGGGGAUCAAAGGAAAAUGGUUUCAUUACUAAAAUUUCAAUUUACAGAGUAUAACACACUCUAGCAGGCAACUAACACAGCAUGCAAUCAGAAAUUCUAAAUUAAAAAGGCUGUUCAAUAAAGGAAGUUUAAACAUUACGUCUCUUUACUGGAAGUGUUUAGGAAGGCUGUGUAGAUCACAUGAGAGGUGUGACUAGAGUGCAUAAACAAAUUCUUUUAACUCCUAAAUGGCAGAGAAUUUGUUAGCGAGACUGCAUCGGCAUUAUGUAUACAUCAAAACUACUUAAUUAAAGCUAAAGUUGUUUUGGUGCCUAUAGUGUCUCUUUAAUUUACAAUUGCCAGAGAAAUUAUUUGAGCAACCUUCUCAAUAAACAAUGUAAAUUCCCUGGCUUUCAACACAUUAAAUGAUUGGAUAAUUUAUUUGACUUUGUUUCUUUGACCCAGACAUAAGUGUGUAUACUCAUUUUUAAAAUUUUUAAAAUUUGUUUUAGUAGAUUUAACAUGGGUAGGUGUGGAUUAACGGAGAAGGUGAAAUUCUUACAUCUAGUAAAGUUUUAAGUAGGUAGUUCAGGAAAUGUCCAUUGCAUAUGAGCUUUAUUCUGAUUAUGUUG